AACGAACGCUGGCGGCAUGCCUAACACAUGCAAGUCGAACGAGACCUUCGGGUCUAGUGGCGCACGGGUGCGUAACGCGUGGGAACCUGCCCUUAGGUUCGGAAUAACUCCCCGAAAGGGGUGCUAAUACCGGAUAAUGUCUUCGGACCAAAGAUUUAUCGCCUUUGGAUGGGCCCGCGUUGGAUUAGCUAGUUGGUAGGGUAAAAGCCUACCAAGGCGACGAUCCAUAGCUGGUCUGAGAGGAUGAUCAGCCACACUGGGACUGAGACACGGCCCAGACCCCUACGGGGGGCAGCAGGGGGGAAAUUGGGACAAGGGGCGAAAGCCUGAUCCAGCAAGGCCGGGGGAGGGAUGAAGGCCUUAGGGUUUUAAAGCUCUUUUACCCGGGAUGAUAAUGACAGUACCGGGAGAAUAAGCCCCGGCUAACCCCGU
This 432-nucleotide ribosomal RNA is filed under the name uncultured bacterium. Its description in RNAcentral is "partial 16S ribosomal RNA". It matches the Rfam family "Bacterial small subunit ribosomal RNA", at positions 29 to 506 of the family's 1533-position model. The record is from RNAcentral.